This 434-nucleotide ribosomal RNA is filed under the name uncultured bacterium. RNAcentral describes it as "partial 16S ribosomal RNA". It matches the Rfam family "Bacterial small subunit ribosomal RNA", at positions 29 to 507 of the family's 1533-position model. The record is from RNAcentral.
AGCGAACGCUGGCGGCAGGCCUAACACAUGCAAGUCGAACGAACCUUUCGGGGUUAGUGGCGGACGGGUGGGGAACACGUGGGAACUUGCCUUUAGGUUCGGAAUAACUCAGGGAAACUUGUGCUAAUACCGAAUGUGCCCUUCCGGGGUAAGAUUAAUCGCCUUUAGAGCGGCCCGCGUCUGUUUAGCUAGUUGGUUGUGGUAAUGGCACACCAAGGCGACGAUCAGUAGCUGGUCUGAGAAGAUGCUCAGCCACAUUGGGACUGAGACACGGCCCAAAAUCCUACGGGAGGGAGGAGUGGGGAAUCUUGCGCAAUGAGCGAAAGCCUGACGAAGCCAUGCCGGGUGAAUGAUGAAGGUCUUAGGAUUGUAAAAUUCUUUCACCGGGGACGAUAAUGACGGUACCCGGAGAAGAAGCCCCGGCUAACUUCGUG